This is a long non-coding RNA of Marmota flaviventris (yellow-bellied marmot), 491 nucleotides long. RefSeq lists it as uncharacterized. Lineage: Eukaryota; Metazoa; Chordata; Mammalia; Rodentia; Sciuridae. The record is from RefSeq and is a predicted model, not a curated record.
CAGGUACCUAUUGACAUUGCUGCAAAAUUUCUUGCAAUGUAUUCAGAUACUUCAGAAUGUAUUCUGAGAGGCUGAACAUCAUGGUGGAAGAGGGUGGUGGAAGAAUGUGGACCAGAACAUCACAUCAUGAAGCAGAGAGUGGAGUGCUGAGGAUCAAACCCAGGGCCUUGCGUGUUCUAGAGAUGCCUUGGAUUUGAGAAAAGACAACCAGAAUUUACACCAGUACAAGAUAAUUGUAACAGGGUCUUCUUAGUGUUGCUGUGAGGUUGAAAUUAACUAAUGUUCAUAGAAAUCUUGAAUCUCCACCUCCACCAUUCUGGCUGAGUGGCUUUCAAUUCAUUCAUUUAUUUCAUCCAUUCAACACAUAGUUUUUGAACCUACUCUAUGCCAGGUACUGUGCUAGGUACUAAGGAUAAAGUACUUAGCAAACAGACCCAGCCUCUGCUCUCAUAGAAUUUGUGUUCCAAUUAACAAAAGGAAUAAGUAAAAUA